This 251-nucleotide ribosomal RNA is filed under the name uncultured bacterium. Its description in RNAcentral is "partial 16S ribosomal RNA". It matches the Rfam family "Bacterial small subunit ribosomal RNA", at positions 524 to 776 of the family's 1533-position model. The record is from RNAcentral.
UACGGAGGAUGCGAGCGUUAUCCGGAUUAUUGGGUUUAAAGGGUGCGUAGGCGGGAUGCCAAGUCAGCGGUAAAAAUGCGGUGCUCAACGCCGUCGAGCCGUUGAAACUGGCGUUCUUGAGUGGGCGAGAAGUAUGCGGAAUGCGUGGUGUAGCGGUGAAAUGCAUAGAUAUCACGCAGAACUCCGAUUGCGAAGGCAGCAUACCGGCGCCCUACUGACGCUGAGGCACGAAAGCGUGGGUAUCGAACAGG